GGGCCCGUGGGGUAGUUUGGUAUCCUACCGGCUUUGGGAGCCGGCGACCCGUGUUCAAAUCACGGCGGGCCCA
RNAcentral lists this transfer RNA (73 nucleotides) under uncultured archaeon. Its description in RNAcentral is "tRNA-Pro(tgg)". It matches the Rfam family "tRNA". From Rfam's summary of the family: Transfer RNA (tRNA) molecules are approximately 80 nucleotides in length. Their secondary structure includes four short double-helical elements and three loops (D, anti-codon, and T loops). The record is from RNAcentral.